RNAcentral lists this ribosomal RNA (480 nucleotides) under Triticum aestivum (bread wheat). RNAcentral describes it as "partial small subunit ribosomal RNA". The record is from RNAcentral. Lineage: Eukaryota; Viridiplantae; Streptophyta; Magnoliopsida; Poales; Poaceae.
AUGCCCUCGCAGACGCAAACACAUGCCAUGGAUGUGGGGAUGCAGGCGGUGGACGCGGCACCGCCGGUGAACGUGGGGAAGCCGGAAGCAUAUGUGGUGACGCUGUCCGACAACGGCGCAGAGAACGCGGCCACAUAUGCAGUGACGUUGCCUGCCGUUGGUGGACACAAAGAAGCAGGGCACAACCCCUUACCUCUGUCCACCAUGCUCCUGACCGUUCCGGUGGCGCUACCUCCACCACCUUUCUCCCCGCAUCUAUCUCAUCGAAGGCAGACAAGGGUGCUUGAUACGAGAAGAUUGAGAUCGAUUUGGAUUUCUCGUAUAGAAGAAAGAAGCGCGUGCACCUUUUUCCCUUUGAUUUGGAGAUGUGUUCUUUUUGCGAGGAAAGGGAGGCGAUGCGCCCGUGGUGUUGCGGAAGGUUAUUUUGGUCGAGAGAAGUGUCUAGGGAGUAAUACACACCACAAACUGGAAUAUUCCUAA